UACAAAACAGCAGGCAAACUUGUGUGCAACUGUGCUUUGCAUUGUCACAAGGUGACAGUCUGACAGGCCCUUCUCCCACCUGUGACUUGUCUGCCUCCCCAGGUGCAGGAAAUGAGAGUACUCUAUGACUGGGAGGUCAUGUGAGUAAAUUAGUUCAGGCCCGGUAAUAAAAGGGAAGCUUCCAGAAAGGGAGAUGAGGCCUGUUUUGCUCUAUAGAGUUGAAAGGGGUUAGCAUUGAUGGAGCUGUGAAAAGGCUGCAGCUGGCCUGAAUGAUCAGUACAGAGCCCAAAAGGAGAGCUGUGGCAUUUCUGACUUAAGAAAGGAAAAAACUAUGGCUCUGAAGAACAGCGCCCAUGAUGCAAACAUCCCACUCUACAUCCUCCGUUCCAGUGCAACCUGUGCUGAUGAUGCAUCAGUCACUGUAGAUAAGCAUGAGUUAACACAUGGAAUGCUAACAGAGUACGGCUAGCAUCUGAGAAUGUGAUUCCGCUGCCAGAGAGGUAACAUAAAUCUAAGUAACAAGUGAGAAAUGCCUACAGUCUCUGGAACCACACAUUCCGUUCCCAGCUGGGCUGACUCUGUGCUUCAUCCUUCCAGAGUAGAUACGUUAAGUCCUUUCUGAGUAUGUUAAAAGUAUCAAGCAGCCACCAUCACCCAUCAGAGAUCCCCACCAUGAAAGUUAAUAGAGGGUGUUUGGACAGAUUGUGAAUCAGGAUUUUUAGCUCUGAAGGAGCUGGACCUGCUAGCCGCUUCUGGGGAACAGCGAGGUCUGCGGUGCCAGGACAGGCAAGAAGCCUGCCUCUGCAUCCCGGUUGUGCCACUGACCAGGAGCCACCGGAGGAGCAAACUGCCUGGGAAAUCAACAUUCCAUGAAGUGAAUGAACAAACAGCUUAUAGAAGGAUGGAAUUUGUUUAUCAUCAGAACACUGGGCUCUCUGUUUUUAUUUAUAGCAUGUUAUCAACUAAAGUUCCUUUUUUGCUUAGCUACUGCGUGAAUGAAGACAGCUUUUUAAUAUUAGUAAAUAAAAGCUCUAUACAUAAAAAUUUGCCACAUGAUUCUUGUAUACUGAACUUAAGUUUUUCCUUCAUGAAGUU
This is a long non-coding RNA of Mauremys mutica (yellowpond turtle), 1095 nucleotides long. RefSeq lists it as uncharacterized. The record is from RefSeq and is a predicted model, not a curated record. NCBI's taxonomy places the organism in Eukaryota, Metazoa, Chordata, Testudines, Geoemydidae. The transcript is spliced from 6 exons.